GUAGGGAAUAUUGCACAAUGGGCGAAAGCCUGAUGCAGCAACGCCGCGUGCACGAUGAAGGCCUUCGGGUCGUAAAGUGCUUUUCUGUAGGACGAGAGAGGACGGUACUGCAGGAAUAAGGAUCGGCUAACUACGUGCCAGCAGCCGCGGUAACACGUAGGAUCCGAGCGUUAUCCGAAUUCACUGGGCGUAAAGCGCUUGCAGGCGGCUGGGUAAGUUGGAUGUAAAAUCUUCUGGCUCAACUGGGAGAUGCCGUUCAAGACUGCCUGGCUAGAGGGCGAUAGAGGGAGGUGGAAUUCCCGGUGUAGUGGUGAAAUGCGUAGAUAUCGGGAGGAACACCAGAGGCGAAAGCGGCCUCCUGGAUCGCAACUGACGCUGAGAAGCGAAAGCUAGGGGAGCAAACGGGAUUAGAAACCCCAGUAGUCC
This 426-nucleotide ribosomal RNA is filed under the name uncultured bacterium. Its description in RNAcentral is "bacterial SSU rRNA". It matches the Rfam family "Bacterial small subunit ribosomal RNA", at positions 354 to 796 of the family's 1533-position model. The record is from RNAcentral.